CGGGGUCCCAGGCUGUGGCAGGACAAGCCGGGCACUGACCCCUCGGGGAGGCCAGGAGAGGCCUGGCAAGAAGCAGGAGACCUUAAUAUGCACAAAAACCAUGAAUUAUCUGCGUGGAUUAGAAAGGAAAACGCAGAACAGACUGACAAAGUAAACAGCAAAAGGGGGUCAACACAACCUAAGAAACAGGCACUCGGAUGUUCACAGGAAGACGCAGCGGCCCCUGGUCUCCACAGGACUCUAGGAAUCACGACUUGGGUGUUACUCAUCCUCAGGCCCUGUUGGGACAGCCUGGGGCUGGUCUCCCUCGUCUCAGGUCCCAGCGUCCCGACUCCGUCCACACCAUCCCACCACGCCAUGUGGGCUCCAGCGGUCAGCCGUCCACCCUCUGACCGGCCGGCCGCCCAGCUGCGGUGGGAAGGGAUGGCCUUGCCCUCGGCUUCUCUCCUGCCGUCUGCUCAGAGAUGGCCUUCGGAAACGAGACUGCUGUGCCGUGUUGUCCUUGCCCCCGGCCCCAGCCUCCCUCUGCGGGUGCGGUGGGUGCUGAGGCUGCCAGAGUCCAUCUGCCGGCCUGGCGAUCUCUGGCUGCAGGCCGCCCACACCAGGGGGAGGACCACUGCCCAUGGCGGUCACAGCCCAAGUCCCCGCUCUCUGCCCCGGCCAAGACACCUCUGCAGCCUUUCUCCUGCCCUCCUUGUUCACAGUUGUCCUGCGAAAAGGUGACCCCCUUCUCAGUGCACACCUGCCCAGAGGCCUGGUCCCCCACCCCCAUUCCUGCAGAGUGGGGACAGCUGUCCCAGGAGCUAUGAGGCUAAGUCCGGCCCCGCUGCUCACCCAGCCAAGGAGGAACCUCCCCAGACACAGCCGGAAACAGUGCUCGCGGCCCUGCCAGAGCCCCCAGCAGAGCUACCUGCGGUGGGCUGAACAAUGGCCCCCUAAAGACGUCAUGGAAAUGUGAAUGUUACCUUAUGCGGCCAAAGGGACUUUGCAAAUGGGAUUAAUUUAGGGCGCCCGGGAUGGGGAGAGCAUCAUGGAGAUGGGGAAUUGUCCAUGUGGGCCCCUCGAACCACAUGGGUCCUUGUGAGACUGAGGCACGAGG
This 1099-nucleotide long non-coding RNA is filed under the name Equus asinus (donkey). RNAcentral describes it as "lncRNA (ENSEASG00005035792.1)". Lineage: Eukaryota; Metazoa; Chordata; Mammalia; Perissodactyla; Equidae. The record is from RNAcentral.